RNAcentral lists this ribosomal RNA (896 nucleotides) under uncultured bacterium. RNAcentral describes it as "bacterial SSU rRNA". It matches the Rfam family "Bacterial small subunit ribosomal RNA", at positions 11 to 915 of the family's 1533-position model. The record is from RNAcentral.
GUUUGAUCCUGGCUCAGGACGAACGCUGGCGGCGUGCCUAAAACAUGCAAGUCGAACGAGGUCCACCCAGUGGCAACACUGGUGAAGACCUAGUGGCGAACGGGUGAGUAACACGUGAGGAACCUGCCCCGAAGACCGGAAUAACCCUCCGAAAGGAGAGCUAAUACCGGAUACCCCCUGGAGACCGCAUGGUCAUCAGAGGAAAUGCUUUUGUGCUUCGGGAGGGCCUCGCGGCCUAUCAGCUUGUUGGUGAGGUAACGGCUCACCAAGGCAUCGACGGGUAGCUGGUCUGAGAGGACGAUCAGCCACACUGGGACUGAGACACGGCCCAGACUCCUACGGGAGGCAGCAGUUAGGAAUCUUGCGCAAUGGGCGAAAGCCUGACGCAGCAACGCCGCGUGGGGGAUGAAGGCCCUCGGGUUGUAAACCCCUUUCAGUCGGGACGAAAAUGACGGUACCGACAGAAGAAGCACCGGCCAACUACGUGCCAGCAGCCGCGGUGACACGUAGGGUGCAAGCGUUGUCCGGAUUUAUUGGGCGUAAAGGGCUCGUAGGCGGUUCGACAAGUCGGGUGUGAAACCUCCAGGCUCAACCUGGAGUCGCCACUCGAAACUGUUGUGACUAGAGUCCGGUAGGGGAGCAUGGAAUUCCUGGUGUAGCGGUGGAAUGCGCAGAUAUCAGGAGGAACACCAGUGGCGAAGGCGAUGCUCUGGGCCGGUACUGACGCUGAGGAGCGAAAGCAUGGGGAGCGAACAGGAUUAGAUACCCUGGUAGUCCACGCCGUAAACGAUGAUAACUAGCUGUCCGGGCACUUGGUGCCUGGGUGGCGCAGCUAACGCAUUAAGUUAUCCGCCUGGGGAGUACGGCCGCAAGGUUAAAACUCAAAGGAAUUGACG